UGGGGAAUAUUGGGCAAUGGGGGAAACCCUGACCCAGCGACGCCGCGUGAGGGAAGACGGCCUUCGGGUUGUAAACCUCUUUUGUACGGGAAGAAGGAAGUGACGGUACUGUACGAAUAAGUCCCGGCUAACUACGUGCCAGCAGCCGCGGUAAUACGUAGGGGACGAGCGUUGUCCGGAAUUACUGGGCGUAAAGGGCGCGCAGGCUGUGCUGCAAGUCAGCUGUGGAAUGUCUGGGCUUAACCCGGGCAUGCGGUUGAGACUGCAGUGCUGGAGUGCUGUAGAGGCAAGUGGAAUUCCCAGUGUAGCGGUGAAAUGCGUAGAUAUUGGGAAGAACACCGGUGGCGAAGGCGACUUGCUGGGUAGCAACUGACGCUGAGGCGCGAAAGCCAGGGGAGCAAACGG
RNAcentral lists this ribosomal RNA (405 nucleotides) under uncultured bacterium. Its description in RNAcentral is "bacterial SSU rRNA". It matches the Rfam family "Bacterial small subunit ribosomal RNA", at positions 355 to 775 of the family's 1533-position model. The record is from RNAcentral.